This 420-nucleotide ribosomal RNA is filed under the name Haliotis discus hannai (Japanese disc abalone). RNAcentral's name for it is "partial 16S rRNA". Lineage: Eukaryota; Metazoa; Mollusca; Gastropoda; Lepetellida; Haliotidae. The record is from RNAcentral.
GACACCUUAAUCCAACAUCGAGGUCGCAAACCCUUCUUUCAAUGUGAACUCUCCAGAAAGAUUACGCUGUUAUCCCUGUGGUAACUUUUUCCGAUAAUCAACAAUGCUGGAUCACUUGUUAGUAAACCAAAAUUCUACAAAUUAACAGAGAAGCUUUUCAUGUUCCCUAGUCACCCCAACUAAAGAUGUAAGAAUAAAUUUAAAAUCCUCUAUUCUAAUAGAAACAGCCCCUUUAUUCCACACUAAAGCUCAACAGGGUCUUCUCGUCCCUCAGCUAAAUCUAAGCCUUUUCACUUAGAAGUUAAUUUUUAAAUAUUCCAGGAGAGACAGCUCAGCCCUCGUCAAACCAUUCAUACCAGCCUCCAAUUAAAAGGCAAGUGAUUGUGCUACCUUUGCACGGUCAGUGUACCGCGGCCGUUU